UGUGACCUACGGGGCGCAGCAGUAGGGAAUCUUCCACAAUGGACGAAAGUCUGAUGGAGCAACGCCGCGUGAGUGAAGAAGGGUUUCGGAUUGUAAACCUCUGUCCUCUGUGAAGAUGAUGACGGUAGCAGAGGAGGAAGCUCCGGCUAACUACGUGCCAGCAGCCGCGGUAAUACGUAGGGCGCAGGCGUUGUCCGGAUUUACUGGGUGUAAAGGGUGCGUAGGCGGCUUUGCAAGUCAGAAGUGAAAUCUAUGGGCUUAACCCAUAAACUGAUUUUGAAACUGCAGCGCUUGAGUGAAGUAGA
RNAcentral lists this ribosomal RNA (305 nucleotides) under uncultured bacterium. RNAcentral's name for it is "bacterial SSU rRNA". It matches the Rfam family "Bacterial small subunit ribosomal RNA", at positions 333 to 655 of the family's 1533-position model. The record is from RNAcentral.